Lathyrus oleraceus (garden pea) is the source of this 317-nucleotide long non-coding RNA. RefSeq lists it as uncharacterized. The transcript has 2 exons. Lineage: Eukaryota; Viridiplantae; Streptophyta; Magnoliopsida; Fabales; Fabaceae. The record is from RefSeq and is a predicted model, not a curated record.
GAGAAAAUAGAGUUGUAAGAAAAUCUUCAAACAAAGAUGGCAAAGCUCAUUUGCCAGUCUCUUCUAUUGGGGCUUUUUUGCAUUGUGUUGGUCACUGUUUCAGUUUUAUAAUAUGUAAUCAAGAGCAAUGGAGCAUUCGAUCAGUCUCAAAUAAAUAGAAUCUAUGGGAAGCUGAAAUAAAUAAGCGAUUAUGCAGUAACAAAUUGGGAGUAAGAGUUGUUUCCAUUUGAAUAUUAUGUAUUGUACUCUUAGUAAAUAAGAGUUAAUUAUAUAUCUCUAAAAUGUGAAAUAUCAAUAAAGUGGUCAACUUAUGAGAA